GAGUUUGAUCAUGGCUCAGAACGAACGCUGGCGGCGCGUCUUAAACAUGCAAGUCGAACGGCAAGAGAGAAGCUUGCUUUUCUCCUAGAGUGGCGGACUGGUGAGUAACACGUGGGUGACAUACCUUUUGGCUGGGGAUAGCUGUUAGAAAUAGCAGGUAAUACCGAAUGUGACCGCAUCUGUUAGAGAGGUGCGAGGAAAGGAGCUAAGGCUCCGCCAGAAGAAUGGCUCGCGGCCCAUUAGCUUGUUGGUGAGGUAACGGCCCACCAAGGCAAUGAUGGGUAUCCGGCCUGAGAGGGUGAACGGACACAUUGGGACUGAGAUACGGCCCAGACUUCUACGGGAGGCAGCAGUUAAGAAUAUUCCGCAAUGGACGAAAGUCUGACGGAGCGACGCCGCGUGGAUGAAGAAUGCCGAAAGGUUGUAAAAUCCUUUUAAGCCUGAGGAAUAAGCGGAGGAGGGAAUGCCUCUGCGGU
RNAcentral lists this ribosomal RNA (476 nucleotides) under Treponema sp. canine oral taxon 200. RNAcentral's name for it is "bacterial SSU rRNA". It matches the Rfam family "Bacterial small subunit ribosomal RNA", at positions 9 to 476 of the family's 1533-position model. Lineage: Bacteria; Pseudomonadati; Spirochaetota; Spirochaetia; Treponematales; Treponemataceae. The record is from RNAcentral.